UAGGGAAUCUUCCGCAAUGGACGAAAGUCUGACGGAGCAACGCCGCGUGAGUGAAGAAGGAUUUCGGUUCGUAAAACUCUGUUGUUAGGGAAGAAAAAAUGUAUAGUAACUAUAUACAAAAGAGACGGUACCUAACCAGAAAGCCACGGCUAACUACGUGCCAGCAGCCGCGGUAAUACGUAGGUGGCAAGCGUUGUCCGGAAUUAUUGGGCGUAAAGCGCGCGCAGGUGGUUUAGAAAGUCUGAUGUGAAAGCCCACGGCUCAACCGUGGAGGGUCAUUGGAAACUAAUAAACUUGAGUGCAGGGGAGAAAAGUGGAAUUCCUAGUGUAGCGGUGAAAUGCGUAGAGAUUAGGAGGAACACCGGUGGCGAAAGCGGCUUUUUGGCCUGCAACUGACACUGAGGCGCGAAAGCGUGGGGAGCAAACGGG
RNAcentral lists this ribosomal RNA (429 nucleotides) under Verrucomicrobiota bacterium. RNAcentral describes it as "Verrucomicrobia bacterium partial 16S ribosomal RNA". It matches the Rfam family "Bacterial small subunit ribosomal RNA", at positions 355 to 776 of the family's 1533-position model. Lineage: Bacteria; Pseudomonadati; Verrucomicrobiota. The record is from RNAcentral.